GGAACUGACCGGGUAGUCGCUGCUUCGUUGAUGUCCCUUCUUUCUUCGGAUUGGGGGAGACUGACGGAGGGGAGGAAAGUCCGGGCUCCACAGAGCAGGGUGCCAGGUAACGCCUGGGGGGCGAGAGCCUACGACAAGUGCAGCAGAGAGAAGACCGCCGAUGGCCCGAUUUCUUCGGAACGGGCACAGGUAAGGGUGAAAGGGUGCGGUAAGAGCGCACCGUGCGGCUGGCAACAGUCCGUAGCAGGGUAAACUCCACCCGGAGCAAGACCAAAUAGGCCCUCACACAGCGUGGCUCGCGUUAGGGGGCGGGUAGGUUGCUUGAGCCAGUGAGCGAUUGCUGGCCUAGACGAAUGGCUACCACCGCGUUAGCGGUACAGAACCCGGCUUACAGGUCAGUUCCCCUU
This 407-nucleotide RNase P RNA is filed under the name Vibrio sediminis. RNAcentral's name for it is "Vibrio sp. HA2012 Bacterial RNase P class A". It matches the Rfam family "Bacterial RNase P class A". Rfam says of the family: Ribonuclease P (RNase P) is a ubiquitous endoribonuclease, found in archaea, bacteria and eukarya as well as chloroplasts and mitochondria. Its best characterised activity is the generation of mature 5'-ends of tRNAs by cleaving the 5'-leader elements of precursor-tRNAs. The record is from Rfam by way of RNAcentral. Lineage: Bacteria; Pseudomonadati; Pseudomonadota; Gammaproteobacteria; Vibrionales; Vibrionaceae.